This 467-nucleotide long non-coding RNA is filed under the name Olea europaea (common olive). RNAcentral's name for it is "long non-coding RNA (OEUR_LNC010469)". Lineage: Eukaryota; Viridiplantae; Streptophyta; Magnoliopsida; Lamiales; Oleaceae. The record is from RNAcentral.
UGGAAUGUUAAAAUUGAAGGAAUGAGUAUUACUUAGUAGGAUACGUGCGUCCAAACAAUAUAAUAACUUUUAAAACAUGAAUCUAUAACAUUCCAUACCAUCAUUUCAUCAAAAGCAAUCGGUGAUCAAUCGGAAGCUCUAGUACAUUUGAGAAGACCCGAAGGCAAUCUCACAUUUCAUUUCAUAGGGACCCGCAGGUCAAUUAGCAUUUCAUGAAAUAAAUCACAUAAAAAAAAUUAUAAUAUUGCAAGGAUGAAUCACUUGCACAUGGUAUCCUACCUUAUCAAAUAAAUGCUGAAAGAAAACUAAGAGUCACGUUCCAAUUGUUUUCUUUUAUUUCCUGCUUACGAAUUGUUGCCUUGUAUGGGCAUGUAAUAGAUGAAAAUAAAGAGGCAAGAGAAUUAUAAUUUUUGUAGAAUAUGAAUAUAAUAGGGGAUUUUUGCUGAACUUAAGGAAUGAAAUCAAAA